Molecule: ribosomal RNA, 416 nt
Filed under: Photobacterium damselae
Lineage: Bacteria; Pseudomonadati; Pseudomonadota; Gammaproteobacteria; Vibrionales; Vibrionaceae
Description: bacterial SSU rRNA
Rfam family: Bacterial small subunit ribosomal RNA
Source: RNAcentral
ACGCGAAGAACCUUACCUACUCUUGACAUCCAGAGAAGCUUGAAGAGAUUCGAGUGUGCCUUCGGGAACUCUGAGACAGGUGCUGCAUGGCUGUCGUCAGCUCGUGUUGUGAAAUGUUGGGUUAAGUCCCGCAACGAGCGCAACCCUUAUCCUUGUUUGCCAGCACUUCGGGUGGGAACUCCAGGGAGACUGCCGGUGAUAAACCGGAGGAAGGUGGGGACGACGUCAAGUCAUCAUGGCCCUUACGAGUAGGGCUACACACGUGCUACAAUGGCAUAUACAGAGGGCAGCAAGACCGCGAGGUGGAGCGAAUCCCAGAAAGUAUGUCGUAGUCCGGAUCGGAGUCUGCAACUCGACUCCGUGAAGUCGGAAUCGCUAGUAAUCGUGGAUCAGAAUGCCACGGUGAAUACGUUCCC